RNAcentral lists this unclassified non-coding RNA (155 nucleotides) under uncultured Hypocreales. RNAcentral describes it as "sequence contains ITS1". Lineage: Eukaryota; Fungi; Ascomycota; Sordariomycetes; Hypocreales. The record is from RNAcentral.
CUGAGUUUCACAACUCUCCAACCCUGUGUGAACUGAAGUCUGGUUGCUCAGGCAGGCGGCCCCCGGGGGGGACCGCAGCUUCUCUGAAGCGCCUGCCGGAGGAUACCUAAACUCGUUUUAAUACGCAAUCUUCUGAGUAAUAAAAAAAUGAAUCA